Molecule: ribosomal RNA, 651 nt
Filed under: uncultured Bacteroidota bacterium
Lineage: Bacteria; Pseudomonadati; Bacteroidota
Description: bacterial SSU rRNA
Rfam family: Bacterial small subunit ribosomal RNA
Source: RNAcentral
GCCCUUAGAGUUUGAUCAUGGCUCAGGAUGAACGCUAGCGGCAGGCUUAAUACAUGCAAGUCGAACGGAAACAGACCUGGCAACAGGUGCUGUCGAGUGGCGCACGGGUGCGUAACACGUAUGCAACCUACCCUUUACUGGGGCAUAACCCUGAGAAAUCGGGGCUAAUACUCCAUGGUAUUAUUCUAAGGCAUCUUGGAAUAAUUAAAGAUUUAUCGGUAGAGGAUGGGCAUGCGCCCCAUUAGUUAGUUGGUAAGGUAACGGCUUACCAAGGCUAUGAUGGGUAGGGGAUCUGAGAGGAUUAUCCCCCACACUGGUACUGAGACACGGACCAGACUCCUACGGGAGGCAGCAGUAAGGAAUAUUGGGCAAUGGAGGGAACUCUGACCCAGCCAUGCCGCGUGCAGGAAGACGGCCUUAUGGGUUGUAAACUGCUUUUCUGCGGGAAUAAUCGCCUUCACGAGUUGAAGGUUUGCAGGUACCGCAGGAAUAAGCAUCGGCUAACUCCGUGCCAGCAGCCGCGGUAAUACGGAGGAUGCGAGCGUUAUCCGGAAUUAUUGGGUUUAAAGGGUGCGUAGGCUGACAAGUAAGUCAGUGGUGAAAUAUCCGGGCUCACCGGGAGGCUGCCAUUGAUACUGUUUGUCUGGAGUG